RNAcentral lists this ribosomal RNA (446 nucleotides) under uncultured bacterium. Its description in RNAcentral is "partial 16S ribosomal RNA". It matches the Rfam family "Bacterial small subunit ribosomal RNA", at positions 338 to 795 of the family's 1533-position model. The record is from RNAcentral.
CCUACGGGUGGCAGCAGUCGAGAAUCUUUCACAAUGGGGGAAACACUGAUGGUGCGACGCCGCGUGGGGGAAUGAAGGUCUUCGGAUUGUAAACCUCUGUUAUGUGGGAGCAAAUACAAAAGAUCGUACCACAAGAGGAAGAGCUGGCUAACUCUGUGCCAGCAGCUGCGGGACUACAGCGGCAUUAAGCGUUGGUCGGCAUCCGUGGGCUUAAUGCGUGCGUAGGCUGGUUCGUAAGUCGUGUGUGAAAGGCGCGGGCUCAACCCGCGGACGGCACAGGAUACUGGGAGACGAGAGUAGUGGAGGGGUAAGCGGAAUGCGCGGUGUAGCAGUGAAAUGCGUAGAUAUCGAGAGGAACACUCGUGGCGAAGGCGGGUUGCGGGACAUGAACUGACGCUGAGGCACGAAGGCGAGGGGAGCGAAAGGGAUUAGAUACCCGGGUAGUC